GACGAACGCUGGCGGCGUGCUUAACACAUGCAAGUCGAACGGAAAGGCCCUGCUUGUGUGGGGUGCUCGAGUGGCGAACGGGUGAGUAACACGUGAGUAACCUGCCCUUGACUUUGGGAUAACUUCAGGAAACUGGGGCUAAUACCGGAUAGGAGCUCCGGCUGCAUGGUGGGGGUUGGAAAGUUUCGGCGGUUGGGGAUGGACUCGCGGCUUAUCAGCUUGUUGGUGGGGUAGUGGCUUACCAAGGCUUUGACGGGUAGCCGGCCUGAGAGGGUGACCGGCCACAUUGGGACUGAGAUACGGCCCAGACUCCUACGGGAGGCAGCAGUGGGGAAUAUUGCACAAUGGGCGGAAGCCUGAUGCAGCAACGCCGCGUGCGGGAUGACGGCCUUCGGGUUGUAAACCGCUUUCGCCUGUGACGAAGCGUGAGUGACGGUAAUGGGUAAAGAAGCACCGGCUAACUACGUG
RNAcentral lists this ribosomal RNA (468 nucleotides) under uncultured bacterium. RNAcentral describes it as "partial 16S ribosomal RNA". It matches the Rfam family "Bacterial small subunit ribosomal RNA", at positions 28 to 507 of the family's 1533-position model. The record is from RNAcentral.